UUUUUUGGAGGAACAACUACAAGGAUGAACAAACAACCACAACACCUAGCACCUGCUAAGUUGUAGUCAAGGAUUUCUUCAUUUUAAUUAUGAAGUGGAAUGAUGGUAGAAUCAUUUCUUAAAAUGGCAUGAGGGCUGAGGCCAUUGAUUUUAUUCUGCUCAGCCUUACCAUUAUGGACCAACAAAUCUCCGGAUAUUCUUUUAAUUUCUAUUUCUAUGCUUUUAAUAUUUUUGGUUUGUUCCUCAGGUCAUAUUACUUCAUACUCAUAAACUCUGUUAAUCCAUGACUCAGUCAGAAGUGCAUGCAAAGCAUUGCAAGAUGAUAGAGAAGAGCAUGAUCUAAGUGAUCAUUCGGGCUUCUCUGGCGAGUUUUAUGGAACCUCAAAAUUCCUCAGAAAACGAAAAUCUUUGUCUGGAGAGCAGUAAGAGAUUGUUUACCCUCAAAAUUCCUCAGAAAACGAAUAUCAUUGUCUGGAGAGCAGUAAGAGAUUGUUUACCAACGAAGGAACAAUUGCAAAUUAGAAAAGUAGCAGUCAACCCCAUGUCCAGUGUGCAACGAAGACCGAGAAACAAUUUAUCACAGGCUGGUAUCAUGUCCGUAUGGUGCCAAAUGUUGGGAACACAAGAAUGUUGAAGGUGGGAGGGGGGAAGCUCAGAGAGAUUUUAAGCAGUGGAUGACAUUUGUACUUCAGAGAUAUAGGAGUAGCUAAAAUCUGUAUGAUCUGCUGGAAACUGUGGCAGAAUAGAAACGACAUUAUAUGGAAUCAAAGAAUUGGGUUUAUGACCCAGGCGGAUGGUAAAGCCCAAUGGGAGCGACCACCGGAAGGUAUGAUUAAGAUAAAUACUGAUGGAGCCUUAUUCGAAGAUUUUAACACAUACAGCUAUUCCAUGAUAGUGAGAAACCAUGCAGGUGAUCUAGUAGAAUCAAAAGCAAGCUGUAGANNNNNNNNNNNNNNNNNNNNNNNNNNNNNNNNNNNNNNNNNNNNNNNNNNNNNNNNNNNNNNNNNNNNNNNNNNNNNNNNNNNNNNNNNNNNNNNNNNNNNNNNNNNNNNNNNNNNNNNNNNNNNNNNNNNNNNNNNNNNNNNNNNNNNNNNNNNNNNGAGAUUAUGCAGGUGCAAUUGUGAGACAGGGAACAGUGAACCCAGAAAUGGCUGAAUUAAUGGGUAUAAGGGAAGCUCUCAGUUGGCUUAAAGACAAAGAUUAUGCAGGUGCAAUUGUGGAAACUGGAAACAGACUGUCUGGCCAUGGUUCAGGCAAUCAGGAGCUCAACAGCAACUCUUUCAUACCUAGGAAGAGUGACCAGUGAAUGAAAAUCUUUAUUAUUACUUUCAUUAAAACAUUAUCCUAAUGUUACUUUUAAUUUUGUGAAGUCAACAAAGUUGCUCACGUGCUAUACAGGGAGAAACUCUAAUUCUAUAGCUGAACGCUUAGGUGGAUAUAGGUGGUGAUACUGCUCCCAUCUUUUAUCAAGUAAUGUUGGACGAUUUGAAGUUUUAAUACUAAUCUUUUUUUAUGGCAAAAAAAUAAAAAUUGAUUGUAUUAUUUUUUAUUAUAAUCUUUAUUAUUUACAUUAUGAACAUAUUAAUAAAAUAACAAUUACUUCAGUAUUAAGAUAAGGAAUUAUAAUUUUUUAAUUUUAUACUUAUCUAAAAAGAAAGAGAGUCUAAAAAAAUAUUAAUAAAUAGAUAUUUAUUAAAAUUAAAAGUUAAAAGUAAUUAAGGAAUACAGACAAAAGUAGUUGCAUUCAAAAGAAUACUUGCAAUACAACUGUUACGUUCAAAACAGUACUACAGCUGUUACAGCUCAUUCACGUAUUGACUAUAAUGUCAGGAAACUGCUUAAAGCAAAUGUGAACUGUAUGGUCUUGUUUGGAAGUUAGAGGUUUGGAACAAAAUCAGAGGUUUUAGGUGUUUUAGAGGUUUGACCACUAAAAUAAGCUAAUAUUAAUGUUUGGUAGUUAGGGGAUUGAAAUAGAGGUUUGGAUCCAAAAAGCUAAUUUUGAAAAAGUUACUUUGAGGAACUUUUUGGGAUUAGCAGUUUGGAUCCAAAAAGCUAAUUUUGAAAAAGCUACGUACUUUGAGGAGCUUUUUGGAUUAGCCCUUUCGGUUUGUGUCAGAAAAAGCUAAUCAAUCAGCUAUUUACCAAACAGUUUUACGAGAAACAGCUAAUUCAAUCUGCUAGUCAAAACAUCUAAUUCAAUAAGCUAGUUAAAAUAGCUAAUUCGAUCCGCUAACAGCUAACCGCUAAUUCCCAGACAAGGCCUAUAAUUAUUAUUAUGUGUAUAUUGAUUCAAAUACGAACCACAAUUUUCUUAUAUUAAUGUAAAACUCUUAAGUACAUCAAUUCCUUUACUGUGAUAUUUUUAUUGAUUUCAAAAUCUAAAUAUCAAAUUUUUAGUUAGAAAUAUCUUUUUGGAAUUUGAGUACGUAACAAAUGAAAAGGCACUCCAGGUUAAAUAAGUGAUACUCCUUCAUAAGUGUCCUUUGACUUUUGAUUAGUCAAAUUAACUACACUUUGAUUAAAAUUUAUAUAUAUUAUAUAAGUGAAUUUUUUUUAUAAAAAAUAUUUUUGAUAAAUAAAUCUAGUCUAUUUUAAUAUGUAAUUUUCUAUUUUCAAAAAUAACAAAUAAAUAUUUUUUAAUAGUUGGUCAAAUUUUAGUCAAUUUGACUUAUCGAAAAGCAAAAUAGACAUGUAAAUUGGGACGGAAGGAGUAAAAAAAGAUUAUGGUUGAAGAAAUAAAAAAAAUAAGCAAGUCAAAGUGUAACUAAUUAGAAAAAUAAUCACAUUUCAAAUUGUUAAGUUCAAAACAAAGCACUUACAUUUCAUGAAAUCAUCCAAACCGCUCUAAUUAAUGUUAUUGAGACGGUUAAAUAAACAAAACACCAAUAUUAGCUGCAAAUACAGCUGUGACCAAGCAUAGUACUUAAAGUCACACAUAUAUUUAUAUAAUUUGUGCAAUUGCCUAGGAUAAUAUUAUUUAUAUUUUUGUUUUGAUUUUAUGCUUCUUUUCUUUAAUCGAUCUGAGCAUUAAAAGAAAUAUUUUAUACCAUGUUAUUCUAGCAUCUAACUCAUAAUAAUUAUAAUUUUAAUUUUAUUCUCAUUCUCUAUUGAUUUUUUGAAAUAUAUUUCAAAUAUUGUAACACAUAUUUAUAAAUUUUUUGUUUAGGUAAUAAAAAUUUUAAAAAUAUUUAUCUAAAAAUAAAGAGAGCCUAAAGAAAUAUUAAUAAAAAAAUAUUUAUUAAAACUAAAAGUUAAAAGUAAUAAGGAAUACAGACAAAAGUAGUUACAUUCAAAAGAAUACAUGCAAUACGACUGUUACAGUACUACAACGUUACUCUGAGCUCAUUCACCUCUUGACUAUAAUGUCAGCAAACUGCUUAUAGCAAAAGUGAACUGUAUUAGUAUUUUACUAAAAUUUUCACACAUUUGUUUGGGCAUUUUCUAGCCAUUAAGAUUUGAGGUCAGUUUUCAAGCAUCCUUCAAUCUUGUUUAUGAUUAAUGUACGAUUUUGUUUACUGUUUGUUUCACAACUUCAAAUCUAUAGGUUUAUCAAUGGCUUCUUCUUCUUCUCCCAACGCUCAAAUCUAGCUUGCUCGACAUAUGGUAACAGCACAAGAAUCUAUAGGUUUAUCAAUGGCUUCUUCUUCUUCUCCCAACGCUCAAAUCUAGCUUGCUCGACAUAUGGUAACAGCACAAGAAAUACAGCUCUUUCUCUGUAACUUUUUUAGUUUCUAUGAUUUUAGUAUUACUCUUUUUUUUCCGUUGAUUUUAAUAAUUUUCUUUCGUUCGUGUAAUCAUUAAAUUUGAUCCAUUUCAUUUACUUAGUCUAUAACUUAAUCCAUGUGUACUUGUGAUUGUGUUUGCUUCUUGUUUCAUUUGUAAUUGCCGGAUCUUACUUUUUCCCACAUACAGGGUGUUGUGGAUGACACUCUAAAUAGGAUUUAUGCGUUGAAACAACACCAAAGCGACCCACAGUUUUUUGUCCAGGUCCUGACUGCCUUCACGAGUGAUGCCCCUGUUAUCAUCACUAAACUUGAAUCAUCCAUGUAUGUAUUUGUACAUAUUUUUGUGGUUAUUGUAUAGCUUUCUAUGUUCAUUCAGCCCUAAUUAUAGGCCAUGUUUGCGUAUUCUUAUAUGUUAUCAGGAGCCAAAAUUUAAUAGACUUUGAAGAUUUGGAUAAAGAUGCCAUAAAACUUCGAGGAGCAUCUUCAAGGUAAAUGAUUAAUUAUGCGGGUGGUCUAACCUGUGAGGGCACAAGUUAAGGUGUAUUUAAUACAUCUGUGGAGUGGUUACCAGCUCAUAUGAUUUAAUAAUGCUGACUACUACUUUUCACUUUGUCCUAUUUUUUAAUUUUUCUCUUCUUCUCACCUUUUAACACUUUCAUGUUUACUUUUUAAAAUUUUAUUUUUUUAAAUAUAUAGAUUGAUAAAAAAAAUAAGUAAAGGGUAUUUUUUGGAGGAACAACUACAAGGAUGAACAAACAACCACUACACCUAGCACCCGCUAAGUUGUAGUCAAGAAUUUCUUCAUUUUCAUUAUGAAGUGGAAUGCUGGUAGAAUCAUUUCUUAAAAUGGCAUGAGGGCUGAGGCUAUUGAUUUUAUUCUGCUCAGCCUUACCAUUAUGGACCAACAAAUCUCCCGAUAUUCUUUUAAUUUCUAUUUCUAUGCUUUUAAUAUUUUUGGUUUGUUCCUCAGGUCAUAUUAUUUCAUACUCAUAAACUCAUUUAAUCCAUGACUCAGUCAGAAGUGCAUGCAAAGAAUUGCAUGAUGAUAGAGAAGAGCAUGAUCUAAGUGAUCAUUCGGGCUUCUCUGGCGAGUUUUAUGGAACCUCAAAAUUCCUCAGAAAACAAAAAUCUUUGUCUGGAGAGCAGUAAGAGAUUGUUUACCAACGAAGGGACAAUUGCAAAUUAGAAAAUUAGCAGUCAACCCCAUGUCCAGUGUGCAAUGAAGACCGAGAAACAAUUUAUCACAGUCUGGUAUCAUGUCCGUAUGGUGCCAAAUGCUGGGAACACAAGAAUGUUGAAGGUGGUAGUGGGGAAGCUCAGAGAGAUUUUAAGCAGUGGAUGACAUUUGUACUUCAGAGAUAUAGGAGUAGCUAAAAUCUGUAUGAUCAGCUGGAAACUGUGGCAGAAUAGAAACGACAUUAUGUGGAAUCAAAGAAGUGUAGAACCUUUUGAACUUGUGCAAUCAGCAGAACUCGUUUUUAAUCAAUGGAGAAAUGCCCAAGAUAAAUCAUUGACAAUUAUCUUGGGUUUAUGACCCAGGCAGAUGGUAAAGCGCAAUGGGAGCGACCUCCGGAAGGUAUGAUUAAGAUAAAUACUGAUGGAGCCUUAUUCGAAGAUUCUAACACAUACAGCUAUUCCAUGAUAGUGAGAAACCAUGCAGGUGAUCUAGUAGAAUCAAAAGCAAGCUGUAGACAGGGAACAGUGAACCCAGAAAUGGCUGAAUUAAUGGGUAUAAGGGAAGCUCUCAGUUGGCUUAAAGACAAAGAUUAUGCAGGUGCAAUUGUGGAAACUGGAAAGAGACUGUCUGGCCAUGGUUCAGGCAAUCAGGAGCUCAACAGCAACUCUUUCAUACCUAGGAAGAGUGACCAGUGAAUGCAAAUCUUUAUUAUUACUUUCAUUAAAACAUUAUCCUAAUGUUACUUUAAAUUUUGUGAAGUCAACAAAGUUGCUCACGUACUAUACAAGGAGAAACUCUAAUUCUAUAGCUUAACGCUUAGGUGGAUAUAGGUAGGGCUGUAAACAAACCAAACAGUUCGUGAGCUACUCGAGCUCGAUUCGGCAAAUAUUUGAAUUCGAUUCGUUAUUAAUCGAGCUGAGCCCGAACUCGAACAGUUCGAACAUUAUGUCGAGCCGAACCCGAGCUUAAAAGUAUUUGGUUCGUAGGGUUCGCGAGCCUAUUCGAGCUUUAGUUGUAUUAUAUAUAUUUUAGGAUUAUGUGUCCAUUUAUAAUUUAUGUUUAUUUAUUAUCAAACUUAAGUAUUAAAAACCCUAGUAUUAUUCUUAUAAUCUUAUACGUUCUAUUUAGUUUUAGACUUUUAGUCUUCAGUCUUCACCCACUCCUUCAGAAUUCAAACCGUCACUUCCUCUCUGCCAGAAGGAGUUCUGCGGCUCUGAGGCAGAAGUCUCAAUUCCUUUCUGAUCUAGCCAUUUCCGAUUAAGACCUGCAGGGUACAUACUAUAAGUUUGUCAAAAACAGGUAUGAUUCUUUAUUAUAUCACUCUUAGAUUGUAGAACUCGUUAAUAUGUCAAAACCCUAUAGCCUCAUACAUCUUAGAUUUUUGUAAAGUUCCUUAUUCAUCUUAUCACUUUUAGAUUUUAUUUCUUUUCUUGUCCAGCAUGUCAUCAGAGCAAAUGAGAAUGCAUAAUACCAGUACAAAUGACAUUCCUGCUAGUGUUGAGAACAAUGAGAAUGCGGAUGAGAUGGAUAUUGAAGAAGAAGAAAAUUCUAUGUUUCAAAAGAAAAAGAGACAAAAAACUUCAGAGGUGUGGAAAGAUUUGAAGGAAAUCACUCUUCCAGAUGGUACUCUCAAAGCUGAAUGUAUUCACUGUAAAACAAAGCUUGCAAUAUUGAGAAGUAAGGUUACCAGUCACAUGUCAAGGCAUUUACAGACUUGUACACAAAGGAAACUCAACAUGAAACAGCAACAAAGACUCAACUUCCAACCAUCUUCUUUAUGUGAAGUGGCAAUGGUGGCUCCUGCACUUACAGAUGGGAAAUUUGAUAUGGCUAAGAUGAGAAAAGCAGCUGCAAACUGGGUGUUAAUGCAUGAGCAUCCAUUUUCAAUUAUGGAGGAAGAGGGGUUUAAUAUGAUGCAGAAGACCGGAAUGCCUGAGUGGGAAAAAAUUUCUCGUAAUACAAUCAAGAAUGAUUGUGUAUCGGUAUAUGAAUUGGAAAAGAAGAAAUUGAAGACAGUGUUAAAGAAUGUAAAUAAGAUCAGUUUGACGACGGAUAUGUGGAAGUCAGGCAAUCAAAAAAUUGAGUAUAUGGUAAUCACUGGCCACUUUGUAGAUUCUGAAUGGAAACUUCAAAAACGUGUCUUGAGCUUUAUUCAUCUGCCUCCUCCUCUUCGUGGAAUUGAUAUUGCAGAUGGUAUUUAUAAGUGUCUAAAAGAGUGGGGAAUCGAGAGUAAAGUCUACACAAUAACAGUUGACAAUGCUGCGAAAAAUGACGCGUGUUUAAGAAAUCUGAAGGAUACUUUUUCUAGAAAUAAAAAGUUACUUUGUGGCGGCAAAUUGUUUCAUGUUCGAUGUACAGCACAUAUCUUGAAUCUUAUGGUACAAGAUGGCCUUUCCAAAAUCAAGCAUGUCAUUCGAGACAUUCAUGAUAGCGUCAACUUUCUGAAUAUAUCAGAAGCUCGACUUAAUUUAUUUGCUGAAAUCGUUCAACAGUUGCAAGUGCCUCAUAGGAUGCUUAUUCUCGAUUGUAAAACCAGGUGGAAUUCAACAUUUAUGAUGUUGUCAACUGCAAUCAAAUUCAAAGAUGUGUUUCCAAGAUAUCAAGAACGUGAGCCUAGUUACUAUUGCUGUCCAAGUGCUGAAGAUUGGUUAAAAGUGGAGAGGGUCUGUAAGCUUUUGGAGGUGUUUAAUUCUGCCACUAACAUCAUUUCAGGAAGUGAGUAUCCGACAUCAAACUUAUUUCUAAAUGAAGUUUAUCGUGUGAAGGUCGUGUUGGAUAAAAAGCAUUCAGAAAUCACAGAUGAAGAGGAUUUCAUGUAUAGUAUGAUUGAAGCUAUGAAACAGAAAUUUGAUAAGUAUUGGGGUGAAGUUAAUUUGCUAAUGGCUAUUGGGGCUAUUUUGGAUCCUCGAUGCAAGAUGAGAGUCAUUGAAUUUUGCUUCCCUAAAAUGUAUCCCGGAAGUGCAGCAAAAGAUAAUAUUUCUAAAGUUCGAGAGGCUUUAUAUGAGUUAUAUGAUGAAUAUGUGGCUGAAUUUCAAGCUAACAGUGGUGAACAAACAGGUGAAGCACAUGAUGGUUUCCGAAAAGAAGCUAAUACUAUUCAAAUUUCAUCCUCUGGCUGGUCGGAAUUUAAUGAUUUUGUGAAAACGAUUGAAACGGUACAACCGUUGAAAUCUGAUCUAGAUAAUUAUUUAGAAGAAGGGUGUUUUAUUUGUGAAGAUUCAAAAUCUUUUGAUGCUUUAGAAUGGUGGAAAGUAAAUACUUUGAAAUAUCGCAUUUUGUCUAUUAUGGCUCGUGAUAUUCUUGCCAUUCCUAUCACGACGGUAGCCUCUAAAGCUACUUUUAGUGCUGGUGGAAGAGUCAUUUGUUAUGGAACAAAAAACGAAGGGGGUGAGCGAUUCGUGCUUCGGACUAGUCUCGGUGCGAGAUGCCUACGUAUCUUCAGCUAGGAGAAGAAUCAAGUCCAAAACGUAGUUCUAGUUAUGAGGGGUAGAGCCCUUUAUAUAGGCGCUUCGGAGUCAGAAGUUGGAUUGAAGUAUGAUCCCACGUUUCAGACUUCAUAUCGAAGUAUGCUUCGGAGUAACAGAUAAGGAAGAACUCUUAUCUUGCCAAGAACUCCGUGACGUUUAUCCACGAGAGUUAGUUGUAUCGUAGGACUUAGUUUCGUAGCUGGACCUUUGUAUGGGCCUCGUGCCUAUCCAAGUCUUUUUUACGGCCCACAUAUAUCUGGUUCAGAGCGCCAUUGGGCCAAGGCGGGAAUCCUUAUAAUUAAACUGGCUACGUGGGCCUCUGUCGGAUCGGGUCGUAAUAUCAAUUAAUCCAACCCCUAUCAUUUGCCCCCCAACUUUCGACAAAUGUCGUAGUAAUUUGCCGGAAGUUUAUAGAGGUUGUAAUAUUGUAUAUCGUGUAUUUUUGCCGAUCCUUCUACUAAAAUUAGGUUUCUGGGUGUUCUCAUGUUUUCCCGAGGCUAGAUUCUAUUUUAUUGGAAUUUGUGGGAUUAAAUUCCAAUUUUUUAGAAUUUCUCGAGCCUUUUAAUGAUUUUCAAAGUAAUUUUUGAGAAAUAAAUCUCAAAUUUCCUUAUUUUUCCGGGUUUUGAUACUUCCCUUUAAGUGUAAUUCAGGGAAAUUCUUCUUCAGGAGGGAAUGCUUCCUGGGCGUGCAUUGCAAUGCCAAGGAGGCCAUUUGGACACCCACGCCCAGGAGUCAUACCUCCUGUGCGUCGUUGAGAACCGUGACUGGUGCCUGUCCUCCUAGGCGUUGCAGCACACGCCUAGGAGGCAUGAAUACGAGCAACGCCUAGGAGACGUGCUCCCUAGGCGUGCCUAACCUUCUCAGGCUGAGAUGUGUCCUAGGCGUGCUUAGCAACGCCCAGGAGACAUUAAUACGGACGACGCCUAGGAGACAUGCUUCUUAGGCGUGUCUGUCUUCUCACAUUAGUGAUUCUUCCUAGGCGUGCUUUGCGACGCCUAGGAGACAUAAUCCUUUGCAACGCCUAGGAGUCGUGCUCUCUUGGCGUGCUAGAUGAUAUAGACGUCUAUUGUGUCUUGUGUCCUUGGCGUGGUUAUGGGCGCCAAGGAGACGUGUUUUUUAUAAGGCCUACAGGAGUUGCUUCCUUGGCGUGUUUGUAUAGGGGCUUUCUUAAAGCUUUAGUUACGUCGUGUCCCGUGGGCGUGCCUGAUGACGCCAAUGAGACAUUGUUCUUUACGAUGUUCACAAAAUGUGAUUUUUGGGCGUCGUUUAAUUGUAAGCCCUCACAAGGCUACAUUUGGUAUCGUUCUCUUGGCGUGCUUAGCAGCGCCCAGGAGACACUGUUUAAACUUAGGCACAAUGUAGUGCUAUAGGCUGUGGGCCUUAGUCUAUAACUUGUCAGGCCUAUAUUUUGUUCUUUUUCCUAUAUUUUUCAUGUGUCUUGUAGAAUUCUCGAGAUUCUUCUGGAAAAGGCUUGCCUCUUCAAAUUCAUGGGCUAACCGCCUGUAGCUAGGCGUUUUGACCGGCCCAAAAGCCCAUUUUACCGGCUGUAGGCCGUGAGCCCUAGGGUUCACCGGCAAACGAACCGGUUAAAACUUUCUAUAAAUCUAGUGACUGAGAGUUUCACUUCUCAUUUCACUUCAAAGUUUCCAAAGUUUCCAAUUUCAAAUACUCUCAAACACUCUCUAGCUUUCUCUAGUUUCCUAGUCUUCCCUUGUUUCUCGGCGAGAUUUAAGGCGUUUUUCCGGCAACCUUCAAGGAUUCUCCAGAUUCCGGCCCAUCUUCAAGCGUUUUUUUCAGUUUCCGAGCAAUCUUCAUCGUUUCUUCAUCAGUUUCUGGGUUUCAUACCUUCAUCCGAAGAAUAUCAAUGGCUGACUCUGCAUCAUCACAGCAAUCCCAACUUUCUCAGCCACCGGCUGGUAGCUCUCACGCUCGCCGAGGUAAAAAUUCCCUCGUCCAUGCUAGCGUUAUUUCAUUACGUGAUUUGCUUAGCGAGUUUGGUCAGGCUUUUCCCAAUAUUCACCACCUUGAUGCAUAUAAUCACCCCUCUAAGUAUAAGCAAAAAGAUGUAGAUAUAAUGGCUAAGUUGUUUGGUAUUGAACACCCGUAUAGGGCCGUGGCUCCAGGCCCAAAUGAUAGGGCUUGUUACCCUAAGCCUGGGGCCAUUAGGGUUUACAAAGAGAUGUUUUAUGCGGGCUUUAGGCUUCCUCCUCCAAUGUUUGUUUAUAGGCUGUUGGCCGAGGCCCGGGUGUGUCCAACCCAACUUCAGCCCAAUGGCUGGAGGUUUAUCUAUUGUUUUUUAGUCCAGUGCAAGAAACACAACUUAGAGCCCAGUGUAGCCGUCUUUAGAUAUUUGUUUAAGUUUGUAAAUGCACCAAACAAUGAGGGCUGGGUCAAAAUCCAAUAUAGGACUUUGGGCCGUAGUAUUUUCAUUUCGGACUCGGCCCCCGACUCCUUCCCUCAUUGGAAGGGUCAAUGGUUUUAUUUAUACAUGGAGGGGGCCGAUUACUUUUAUUCUCAUUUUAGUCGGGCCGAGGAUGGGGCCAUGAGGUCCCUUAAACUAGGGGUCGAAGAGAGAGUGGCCAUAAAGAUUUUGACUGAGGACUGCCUCCAUCACAGUUCGCUGCUUAUUUCUGAGGCCUCGCUCCAAAGUCAUGGGCUCAGUGAUUUGGGCCCUGAGGGUAAGCCCAUUGUGGUCUUUAAAUUCGACUUGUCUCUUAACAUAUUUUGUGAAUACUUAUGUCAUUUUUCUCAUUUGUCUUGCAGCCCAAGCCGCUCUUGGAAGUAUUUUCAAGAAGCGCGAAACCGCCGCUUCUCAGGCGGUGGUUACCGAAGUGCCUCGCGAGAAGAGGUCGCGAAAGAGGGGGAAGUCCCCAGUUAUCGAGAAGGUUCCGGCCUUUCUAACUCCUCGCGAGGUGGCCGUCGAGGAGGACUCAGGCCCCUACGUCGUGGAGUGGGGCCUUCAUAAAAAGGAUACCGUGGUGGGAGACUCUCGGGCCGCCGCGGAGUGGUCCCGGAACGUGAUUACUCCCCGGGAUCGAGCCUAUGUGGUGGAAUCGUCCGAGGACCUCCAGAUCGAGCUUCUGGGGGCCCAAGCCGUGGCAACGGUAAGCCCAAAACUUACGUAUUGCCUUGUUUUUUAGUCCUUUUCUUACUUAGGCAAUUUUUCUUCUUCUAACUGCAAUAUUUUGUGUAGGUCAAUACCUACCUCCAGGUUGCGGUUCACAACCUGAAGGUGGUUAGGGCCGAGAAAACGAUCGCGGAACGUGACCGCGACAGUUAUUUCGAAGCCUCAACUACUAACUUCGAGCAGUUUCGGAGGGUGGAGGCCGAGUUAGUGGCCGAACAAGAAAAGGUCCGUACCUUGGAGGCGGAAUUGGCACGGGUCCGCAGAGAGGCGGUGGAGGACUUUAAAAAGUCCAAAGAAUUCGACGAUAUCCUCGCUGCGGAGUUCGACUCAUCCUUUGCCGAGACCUUUAAGUCCUGUUGGGAAAGGAUCAUAGACGAACUCGGUUCUCAGAUCGAGGGAGUUACCUUGGAGCGAUUCCCCGUUCCGAAACUUCCUGGGGAGGAGACUCCCUCCCCGAUGGCGGUCGAGGAUCUCGGGGGGUCGCACCCCUUGGAAUCUCAAGAUUUGGAGAUUCCAACCGAGGACCUUAUGAUCCAAGAUUCCCAUCAGGAUGAAAAGGAUCUUGGGAAAGGAGGAGAGGCCCUAGUCGACGAGGCCCGGGAGAAGGCGGCCCAAGGUGAAGAAACCCAGGAGGUGGAGGCCCGACUUCACGGGUCGACCCAGGAGCAGGAAGACGUCUUUGACGACGGGCUUCCAUAGAUUAGGUCUAUUUUUAGCCCUGCGAGGCGUAUUUUUGUAAUUAUAACUUAUUCGAAUAUUUAUACCCUUCGGGGUUUUAACUUAUUUAUCUAAGUUCUCUUUUGUUCCAUCUUUUAUCUUCCUGCAUAUCGCGCAUUUAAUAUUCUUUACUUAGAAUAUUCUUGAACUAACUCUCGUAAGAUUUUAGUUGAAUUUGUUAAUUCAAAUCUCAGAAUAAUCCUCGGGACUUUACUUUUAAAUCAGGAUCGAUUCAGAACAAUUCUUACUUAGAAUUUUCAAACUCUGAAUUUCCAAACUCCAAAUUGUCUUCUAAUUAAGAUGACCCUUCAGGGUUGGUUGACCUUUAAUCGUCAUACUUUAACUUAGGAUUUACUUAGAGUCUUUUCUCAGCUUCAAGCUUUUCUCCAUGUUCAAAACGUUGUAUUCAAAGGAAGACACAAUUUAACAAAAUCAAGGCUAAAAAUCCUCGGGACUUUCAUUAAUAUCAUAGUAAAAGAGAUAAACUAUUCUUCAAUUCAACUACAUGGCAGUGGUCGAUAUGACCUUAUUCUUGUGAUAACUACUAACUUCUACUAUCAUAGGAUAAGCAUCAAAUAUAAUAUAUCUUCAAGUUGGCCGCAUGCCAACUUCUGGGGACUUCAAUUCCUUCAAGGGUCUGAAGCUUAUAUGAGCCAUGGCCCGUGACGGCCUUAAUUUGAUAGGGGCCUUCCCAGUUUGGGGCCAUCUUGCCCUUGGGGCCCUCUCCAGAGGCUUCAAUCUUUCUAAGCACCAGGUCUCCUUCUCGAAAGUAUCGUUCCUUAACUCGUAGGUUCUAGUAGUAGGAAGCUCGCUUCUGGUUUUCCACGAUUUUAGCAUGAGCCUCAUCACGGAUUUCGUCAAUCAUGUCGAGUGCGAGUCUCAUACCUUCCUUAUUGGCUUCUGGCUCAUAAUGCUGGACCCUUGAGGAAGUGUGAGUGAUUUCAAGGGGCACAACUGCUUCAGCUCCAUAAGCUAGCUGGAAAGGGGUUGCCCCGGUAGAGACUUUACAAGUUGUUCGAUAGGCCCAAAGUAUUGGAAGCAGUUCCUCGGCCCAUGACCCCUGGGCCUUCUCAACUCUUUUUUUAAGUCCGUCGAGGAUUAUCCUGUUAGCCACCUCAGCCUGUCCAUUAGCUUGAGGGUGAGCAACUGAGGUGAAGCGUAGUUCAAUCGAGUAAUCUUCGCAAUAACUCUUGAACUCGGCAUUGUUGAAUUGAGUCCCAUUGUCUGUCACCAUGAUUCGUGGUAUUCCAUACCUGCAGAUAAUAUUUUCCCAUACAAACUGAGCAACCUGCUUGGUGGUUAUCUUGGCCAGUGUUUUGGCCUCGAUCCACUUAGUAAAAUAAUCAAUCGCUACCAACAGGAACUUCCUUUGCGCACUAGCAAGUGGAAAAGGUCCAAGGAUAUCCAUUCCCCACAUGGCAAAAGGGAUAGGAGUGUUGAUAGACGUCAACAUCUCCGGGGGCUGUUGUACUACCGGUGCGAACCUUUGACACCGAUCACACCUUUUCACAUAUUCUUGGGCCUGCUUAAGCAUAUCGGGCCAAUAAAAUCCAAGAUGGGUUAUUUUGUGAGCCAAUGCCCUUCCUCCAAGGUGUUGGCCACAUACUCCUUCGUGAACUUCCCUAAGAGCUUCUCGUGCCUCAUCAGGCCUUAGACAUCUCAAAUAGGGAAUUACAAACAAUUUCCGAUAUAAGAUCCCUUCAAUGAGGACGUAUUUGAGGGCCCUUACCUGUAACUUCCGUGCAUCAUCAGCGUUGGUUGGUAGAUGACCACUUUUAAGAUACAACUUGAUUUCAUCCAUCCAGGUGGCUCCCGUGUCAAUUGGAGCAACCAACUUAGCAUCGAUGCUUGGGGUUCUCAUAACCUGAUAAUAAACACUUCCCGAGCAUACCUCAUCAUCAGAGGAAGCAAAUUGAGACAAGGCAUCAGCUUUAGUGUUCUCCUCUCUUGGCACAUAUUCUACAAUGCACUCUUCAAAUAAUGCCAUUUGAGUCUUAACAAUCCUCGGGUAUCUGAGCAUCGUAUCUUCCCGAGCUUCAAACUCGCCAUUUACUUGGAAAACUACAAGCUUCGAGUCACCACAGACCAUCAAAUUCUUUACCCUCAGGGUUCUGGCUAAUCCAAGCCCAGCUGUUAAAGCCUCGUAUUCAGCCUCGUUGUUGGUAGUUGGGAAGUCCAACUUGAUAGCGUAUUCCACAGUAAAGCCAUCGGGGCUUUGGAGCACGAGUCCUGCACCACUACCUUUUGUUUUUGAAGCCCCGUCAAAAAAUAGCAGCCAGUAUUCUUUAGGUUUCUCUUCCUUGGUGGGCUCUUUUACCUUGUCUUCCUGCCCCCCGACUUCCUUGUUGUUAAUGGUACAUUCGACGAGGAAGUCAGCUAAAGCCUGUGCUUUAAUCGCCGUUCGAGGCUUGUAUCGGAUCACCGAGUAAUUGAGCUCUGCUCCAUGCAAAACUUUGCUCACGUAGUACACUGGUUUUUGAAUUUUCAACUCCUCUCGAACUAAUACAGCACUCAGUGCUUGUUCUGAAACUGGUAGAUAUACAUACAAGGUCUCACCAUCAAUGGGCUUUGAUAGGAGAGGUGGCUCUGCCAUGUACUUCUUCAGUUCCUCAAAAGCUACUUGGCUCUCUUCUGUCCACUCGAAAUUCUUAACCUUUUUCAAGGCUUUGAAGAAGGGUAAGCAUUUGUCUCCUGACUUGGAUACAAAUCUUCCCAGGGCCGCAAUCCUUACUGUCAACGUCUGUACAUCCCUUACACUCUUGGGAGGUUCCAUAUCGAGGAUGGCUUUUAUUUUGUCAGGGUUGGCCUCAAUACCACGUUUGGAGACCAUUAAACCAAGAAACUUCCCGGAACCAACCCCAAAGGCACACUUGGCCGGGUUUAACAUCAUCUUAUGCGUCCUCAGGACUUCAAAAGCUUCUUUCAAAUGUUCGAGGUGAUCCGAUUUAUUUAAGCUUUUCACCAGCAUAUCAUCAACGUAUACUUCCAUAGUUUUGCCUAUCAGAUGUUUGAACAUCUUGUUUGCUAAGCGUUGGUAUGUGGCUCCUGCAUUCUUAAGUCCAAAUGCCAUAACCAAAUAACAAAAUACACCAAAGUCUGUAAUGAAUGAUACCUUGGGGACGUCGUCUUUGUCCAUCCGGAUCUGAUUAUAUCCGCUGAACCCGUCCAUAAAACUUAGCAUCUCAUGGCCAGCGGUGUCAUCUAUUAGCGUGUCUAUCCUUGGAAGGGGGAAACAAUCCUUGGGACAAGCAUCAUUCAGAUCAGUGAAGUCUACGCACAUUCUCCACUUUCCAUUGGCCUUCUUGACCAUAACAGGGUUAGCUAACCACUCAGGAAAUUGAAUUUCCUCAAUAAAUCCGGCUUCCAACAACUUAUCGACCUCCUGUUUAAUGGCUUCCUGCCUUUCGGGAGCGAUAUUCCUCUUCUUUUGCUUAAUUGGUUUCCUAUCAGGAUUCACAUUCAGUUUAUGAGUCAUGAAUAAGGGAUCAAUACCUGGCAUGUCAGCCGCUGUCCAAGCAAAAACAUCCCGAUUGUUCCUCAAGAACCUCACUAGUUCUUGCUUCAAGUCUUCCUGAAGUAAGGCUCCAACAUAAGUAACCUUUUCGGGUUCCUCAGUAUGCAAUGGGACUGGAAUCAGGUCUUCGGCGGGCUUGCCUCUUCUUUCUUCCUCCUUUCGGACAUCGAGAUCCUCUAUGGGUAGUACUUGCCCCCCGGCUCCGCCAGACCUUAGUGGCCCAAUAUAACAGCUUCGGGCCAUUUUCUGAUAUCCCAAUUCUUCUCCAAUUCCGUUCCUAGUUGGGAAUUUAAUCUUCAUGUGGUAAGUGGACGGGAUUGCCCUAAAAGCGUGUGUCCCAGUCCUCCCAAGGAUGGCAUUAUAGGUUGAUGAGGCUUUAACGACCAAGAAAUUUACCAUACAGGUGGCUUGUCUAGGUUCGGUACCCAUGGUUACAGGAAGUUGGAUCAUGCCUUCAAUCUUAGUUUCCACAUUGUUGAAGCCAUAUAUAGGCAUAUCCGAGGGUGUUAGUUGAGUAUCGGAAUAUCCCAUCUUUUCAUAGGCAUCAUAAAACAAGAUAUCUCCAUUAUCAACAAGCACUCUCUUUACGGACGAGUUUCCAAUCACCGGUGUAAUUACUAAGGGGUCAUCAUGGGGGAACUUUACCUUCUCGAGGUCAACGUUAUCGAAUGCCACUGCAUAGUCAAUUUUUGCCCGCUUCGGAGGUUCUCCAACUAUAUUCAUCACUUCCCUUGCAUAAGCUUUUCUUGAAUUGCUUGAAGUGCCUGCGGCCGUAGGCCCUCCGGAGAUUAUGUUGAUCACAGGGCCUCGAGGCUGAGCUCUCUUAUCAUCAUUGUCUCUUCCACGACUGUCAUUGUCCCGAUAAUUUUUAUCUCCAUCCUUGGUGAACUUAGACAACUUACCUCUUCGGAUCAAGAAUUCGAUUUCAUCUUUCAAUUGCCGACAAUCAUCGGUCUUAUGCCCCGUGUCUUUGUGGAAUCGACAAUACAAAUCCUUGUUUCGUUUCUCGGGGUCGGUCCUUAUGGGCUUCGGCCAUCGGACACUCUCAUCCUUUUCGAUCUCCAUUAGGAUUUGACUUCUUGGGGCAUUGAGUCCUACCUUCUUUUUAGCAGGCGACUUCUCAUCAUCAUCCUUUUUGGCAUAUUUAUUCUCAGCGUUAUACUCGGCAUCAUUCCCACGUUUCUUAAAGUUAGUGUUUGGCCCUUGGUUACUCUGGGAUUUCCUUAGGCUUUCCUCUGCCUUAAUAUACUUCCCGGCUCUCUCUUGUAAGUCGUUCAUAUUAUCAGGGGCUCUUUUGGCUAGAGAUCGACGAAAAUUGUCAUCAGUGGUACCCUGCUGGAGUGCAAUCAUGGCUACCUUCUGAUCCAGGUCCGGGACCUUCAAGGCUUCUUUGGUAAAACGAUUCAUAUACUCCCGAAGUGAUUCGUUUUUACCCUGGUGUAAAUUCAUUAAUGAGGCGGAGCUUUUGGCGUGAGUUUUGCUUCCAACGAAUUGUCCUAUGAAGGCCCUGCUCAGGUCAGCAAAACAGGAAAUAGAGUUUGGAGGUAAGCGACUGUACCAGUUCUGAGCCAUUCCGCUCAAAGUUUGAGGAAAAGCACGGCACUUGAUUGCUUCCGUAACGGGUUGGAGUAACAGAGCAUUCAUGAAGGUUCGAACGUGGUUGGCGGGAUGACCCGUGCCAUCAUAAGCUUUAAUGGUUGGGAGCUUAAAUUUUCGAGAGAUUCUUGCACCCAUGAUUUCUUGCGUAAAAGGGGGAACGGGGUUAUCGGGAUCACCUGCUGGUAACAAGUGAAUCUGAUUCAUGACAUUCUGACGAGGGUUUUCAUCUCUUGGUUCCGGAGGCGGCAACCUCGCCUGGUCCCUCUUUAAUCGUGCAAUUUCCUCCUCGUAAGCACGGAUUCGAUCCUCAUAGGCUUGGUUCGUUGCUCCCCGGAGCUCAUUAGCCUCCUGCCUAUGGCGGCAUCGACGGUGUCGAGUAUGAUCGGUAUCUCUUCUCCUUCGAGGGGGAGUCUUGCUCCGAUUCAGAGGAGUCGUAAUCAGUUACGUGCACAUAGUCAUCACCCGUGCCUCCACGAGUGGUUGUCGUGACGGUUGAAUAAUGCGUGCCGGCGUCAGUGACGGUUGCAAUUACUCGAGUCAGAGGGGGCAGCGAGCCAAAAGUCAGGGGAGCGGUAGUUUGAGCAAUGGUCGUACCGAGCGGGAGGGAAGUAGUUACAGGGGUUGAUUCAGUCGAGACUCCGGUGGUGGUUCUGCUGCGUGGAACAUGGAUUUCAGAACGUGGUCCGGUUGGGUUCGUCAUGGUUGUUGUUUCGGCUUCCCACAGACGGCGCCAAAUGUUAUGGAACAAAAAACGAAGGGGGUGAGCGAUUCGUGCUUCGGACUGGUCUCGGUGCGAGAUGCCUACGUAUCUUCUGCUAGGAGAAGAAUCAAGUCCAAAACGUAGUUCUAGUUAUGAGGGGUAGAGCCCUUUAUAUAGACGCUUCGGAGUCAGAAGUUGGAUUGAAGUAUGAUCCCACGUUUCAGACUUCAUAUCGAAGUAUGCUUCGGAGUAACAGAUAAGGAAGAACUCUUAUCUUGCCAAGAACUCCGUGACGUUUAUCCACGAGAGUUAGUUGUAUCGUAGGACUUAGUUUCGUAGCUGGACCUUUGUAUGGGCCUCGUGCCUAUCCAAGUCUUUUUUACGGCCCACAUAUAUCUGGUUCAGAGCGCCAUUGGGCCAAGGCGGGAAUCCUUAUAAUUAAACUGGCUACGUGGGCCUCUGUCGGAUCGGGUCGUAAUAUCAAUUAAUCCAACCCCUAUCAUCAUUGAUACAUAUCGUGCUUCAUUAUCCCCUGAAACAGUCCAAGUACUUCUUUGUGGAGAAGAUUGGUGUCGCAGUCUUCAUGGGAUUAAAAGAAAGAACAAGGUAUAAUUUAUAUUAAAUUUCUCACAUAAAUCAAACUAUUUAUUUUGACGGAAUCGUGAUAUUUAUUAUAUAUUGAUCAUAUAUUUUACUUGACGAGGAGAAGAAACCAAUCGAAAUUUUGCUGCCUAAUAUUGGAUGAGUGCUAAAUAGUUAUGAUUUUGUCAUUCUGAACUCUCAAGGUUAGUCAUCUUUUAUCCUAUCACCUAUAUAAGUUAUAUGAGUAUGUGCUUUAUGGCAUUUCAGGUUCUUAAUUUCUAUUUAUUUUCAUUUCAGGCUUCAGCAUAAAGUUUCAGACAGUUAGUAUAUGCAGGGGCAAUGAAGUUUGGUUAUUGGCUUAUUGCAUAAUAUCUCAAUUCCCAUUUUAAUUACUAAUGUUUGGACCAGAACUAUCUUAGUUGAACUUUUUCUAUUUUUGAUGGCCGGUUGUGCCUUUUGGAAUUAAAUAUUAUUAGUUGCUAUGUUUAUUGAAUCUGCCUUUAAAAUUAUGUAAAACAUGGUGAAUCGUUGGUGGAAGUAUUUUUUUGGUUGCUGAUGUUGCAAUUUGGUUUUGUUUUGUUUGAAUUUUUCUGUUGCUGGCUUGCUGCUACUAAGGUAUCUGGAGUUUUGUUGAUGAUGUUUUUUGCAUAAUGGUGUUUACAUAUGAUUUGAUUUGUGGGAAUUUCUCACUGGGAAACAUAGUAAGAAGAUUGGUGGUGCACUGGUGCCACUGUGCUGUUUUGGCACAACCAAAUUAUGAUGCAUGGUUUGUCAUUUUAAUUUAUACGUUUAUUCUGCUUCCUGCAUCUCCUGCCUUCCUCUGCUUGCUUUAUUUCUUUUAUAUCUUUUAGUGCUAAGUUUGCUUUUCUUAUUUGUGUAUUCGUUUGCCAGAUUUUGGUGGUGUUGGGUUUGAUUUUCGCUGCAUUUCGGUCUGGCAUUGAUCUUUGCUUGGACUUCUUCUUUUUUUAGUUUUUUGUGUGGUUUUUUCGGAGUUACUUGUAAAAUUUGUUUUAUCAUUUUGUAGUUUUUUUCGAGCUUUCGAACCGAACUCGAGUUUAUCGAAUAUUUGUCGAGUCGAGCUUCGAGCUUAAAAUUUUAGGCUCGAUCGAACCCGAGCUUCGAAUUUUUGGACCGAGCCGAACUCGAGCCUAUCACUAUUUGACUCGGCUCGGCUCGUUUACAGCCCUAGAUAUAGGUGGUGAUACUGCUCCCAUAUUUUAUUAAGUAAUGUUGGACGAUUUGAAGUUUUAAUACAAAUCUUUUUUUAUGGCAAAAAAAAUAAAAAUUGAUUGUAUUAUUUUUUAUUAUAAUCUUUAUUAUUUACAUUAUGAACAUAUUAAUAAAAUAACAAUUAUUUCAGUAUUACGAUAAGGAAUUAUAAUUUUUUAAUUUUAUAUUUAUCUAAAAAGAAAGAGAGUCUAAAAAAAUAUUAAUAAAUAGAUAUUUAUUAAAAUUAAAAGUUAAAAGUAAUUAAGGAAUACAGACAAAAGUAGUUACAUUCAAAAGAAUACUUGCAAUACAACUGUUACGUUCAAAACAGUACUACAGCCGUUCCUGAGCUCAUUCACGUAUUGACUAUAAUGUCAGGAAACUGCUUAAAGCAAAUGUGAACUGUAUGGUCUUGUUUGGAAGUUAGAGGUUUGGAACAAAAUCAGAGGUUUGAGGUGUUUUUGAGGUUUGACCACUAAAAUAAGCUAAUAUUAAUGUUUGGUAGUUAGGGGAUUGAAAUAGAGGUUUAGAAGCAAAAAGCUAAUUUUGAAAAAGUUACUUGGAGGAACUUUUCGGAUUAGCAGUUUGGAUUCAAAAAGUUAAUUUUGAAAAAAGCUACGUACUUUGAGGAGCUUUUUGGAUUAGCGCUUUUGGUUUGUGUCAGAAAAAGCUAAUCAAUCAGCUAUUUACCAAACAGUUUUACGAGAAACAGCUAAUUCAAUCUGCUAGUCAAAACAUCUAAUUCAAUAAGCUAGUUAAAAUAGCUAAUUCGAUCCGCUAACAGCUAACCGCUAAUUCCCAAACAAGGCCUAUAUUUAUAAUUAUGUGUCUAUUGAUUCAAAUACGAACCACAAUUUUCUUAUAUUAAUGUAAAACUCUUAAGUACAUCAAUUCCUUUACCUUGAUAUUUUUAUUGAUUUCAAAAUCUAAAUAUCAAAUUUUUAGUUAGAAAUGUCUUUUUGGAAUUUGAGUACGUAACAAAUGAAAAGGCACUCCAGGUUAAAUAAGUGAUACUCCUUCAUAAGUGUCCUUUGUCUUUUGAUUAGUCAAAUUAACUACACUUUGAUUAAAAUUUAUAUAUAUUAUAUAAUUGAAUUUUUUUUAUAAAAAAUAUUUUCGAUAAAUAAAUCUAGUCUAUUUUAAUAUGUAAUUUUCUAUUUUCAAAAAUAACAAAUAAAUAUUUUUUAAUAGUUGGUCAAAUUUGAGUCAAUUUGACUUAUCGAAAAGCAAAAUAGACAUGUAAAUUGGGACGGAGGGAGUAAAAAAGAUUAUGGUUGAAGAAAUAAAAAAAUAUAAGCAAGUCAAAGUGUAAAUAAUUAGAAAAAUAAUAACAUUUCAAAUUGUUAAGUUCAAAACAAAGCACUUACAUUUCAUGAAAUCAUCCAAACCGCUCUAAUUAAUGUUAUUGAGAAGGUUAAAUAAACAAAACACCAAUAUUAGAUGCAAUACAACUGUUACGUUCAAAACAGUACUACAGCGUUAAUGAGCUCAUUCACGUCUUGACUAUAAUGUCAGCAAACUGCUUAUAGCAAAAGUGAACUGUAUUAGUAUUUACUAAAAUUUUCACACAUUUGUUUGGGCAUUUUCUAGCCAUUAUGAUUUGAGGUCAGUUUUCAAGCAUCCUUCAAUCUUGUUUAUGAUUAAUGUACGAUUUUGUUUACUGUUUGUUUCACAACAUCAAAUCUAUAAGGUUAUCAAUGGCUUCUUCUUCUUCUCCCAACGCUCAAAUUGAGCUUGCUCGACAUAUGGUAACAGCACAAGAAAUACAGCUCUUUCUCUGUAACUUUUUUAGUUUCUGUGAUUUUAGUAUUAUUCUUUUUUUUUCGUUGAUUUUAAUAUUUUUCUUUUGUUCGUGUAAUCAUUAAAUUUGAUCCAUUUCAUUUACUUAGCCUAUAACUUAAUCCAUGUGUACUUGUGAUUGUGUUUGCUUAUUGUUUCAUUAGUAAUUGUCGGAUCUUACUUUUUCCCACAUACAGGGUGUUGUGGAUGACACUCUAAAUAGGAUUUAUGCGUUGAAACAACACCAAAGCGACCCACAGUUGUUUGUCCAGGUCCUGACUGCCUUCACGAGUGAUGCCCCUAUUAUCAUCACUAAACUUGAAUCGUCCCUGUAUGUAUUUGUACAUAUUUUUUUAGUUAUUGUAUAGCUUUCUAUGUUCAUUCCGCCCUAAUUAUAGGCCAUGUUUGCGUAUUCUUAUAUGUUAUCAGGAGCCAAAAUUUAAUAGACUUUGAAAAUUUGGAUAAAGAUGCCAUAAAACUUCGAGGAGCAUCUUCAAGAUAAAUGAUUAAUUAUGCGGGUGGUCUAACCUGUGAGGGCACAAGUUAAGGUGUAUUUAAUACAUCUCUGGAGUGGUUACCAGCUCAUAUGAUUUAAUAAUGCUGACUACUACUUUUCACUUUGUCCUAUUUUUUAAUUUUUCUCUUCUUCUCACCUUUUAACACUUUCAUUUUUACUUUUUAAAAUUUUAUUUUUUUAACAUAUAUAGAUUGAUAAAAAAAUAAGUAAAAGGUAUUUUUUGGAGGAACAACUACAAGGAUGAACAAACAACCACUACACCUAGCACCCGCUAAGUUGUAGUCAAGGAUUUCUUCAUUUUCAUUAUGAAGUGGAAUGCUGGUAGAAUCAUUUCUUAAAAUGGCAUGAGGGCUGAGGCCAUUGAUUUUAUUCUGCUCAGCCUUACCAUUAUGGACCAACAAAUCUCCCGAUAUUCUUUUAAUUUCUAUUUCUAUGCUUUUAAUAUUUUUGGUUUGUUCCUCAGGUCAUAUUAUUUCAUACUCAUAAACUCUGUUAAUCCAUGACUCAGUCAGAAGUGCAUGCAAAG
RNAcentral lists this long non-coding RNA (22639 nucleotides) under Daucus carota (carrot). RNAcentral's name for it is "long non-coding RNA (DCAR_LNC007323)". Lineage: Eukaryota; Viridiplantae; Streptophyta; Magnoliopsida; Apiales; Apiaceae. The record is from RNAcentral.